GGAUUCACUGGGUUUAGAGGGUGCGUAGGAGGGUAGGUAAGUCAGUGGUGAAAUCUUCGAGCUUAACUCGGAAACUGCCGUUGAUACUAUCUAUCUUGAAUACCGUGGAGGUGAGCGGAAUAUGUCAUGUAGCGGUGAAAUGCUUAGAUAUGACAUAGAACACCAAUUGCGAAGGCAGCUCGCUACACGAAUAUUGACUCUGAGGCACGAAAGCGUGGGGAUCAAACAGGAUUAGAUACCCUGGUAGUCCACGCCCUAAACGAUGGAUACUCGACAUACGCGAUACACAGUGUGUGUCUGAGCGAAAGCAUUAAGUAUCCCACCUGGGAAGUACGACCGCAAGGUUG
This 347-nucleotide ribosomal RNA is filed under the name uncultured bacterium. RNAcentral's name for it is "bacterial SSU rRNA". It matches the Rfam family "Bacterial small subunit ribosomal RNA", at positions 547 to 896 of the family's 1533-position model. The record is from RNAcentral.